CUGCAGCCAUUUCAUUUUGAAACAUCAGCUCCCGUACAAUCACCGAAGUUAAGCAACGUCGAACCUGGUCAGUACCUAGAUGGGAGACCUCUUAGGAAACCAAGUGCCGUAAG
Acanthosepion pharaonis is the source of this 113-nucleotide non-coding RNA. Lineage: Eukaryota; Metazoa; Mollusca; Cephalopoda; Sepiida; Sepiidae. The record is from the annotation of a GenBank genome assembly.